Molecule: microRNA precursor, 81 nt
Filed under: Melampsora larici-populina 98AG31
Lineage: Eukaryota; Fungi; Basidiomycota; Pucciniomycetes; Pucciniales; Melampsoraceae
Description: microRNA MIR807
Source: RNAcentral
AUUCACAUAUGUGUGAAUGGAAUUCACAUAUGUGUGAAUAGAAUUCACAUAUGUGUGAAUGGAAUUCACAUAUGUGUGAAU